RNAcentral lists this transfer RNA (62 nucleotides) under Friesea gretae. RNAcentral's name for it is "tRNA-Asp". The record is from RNAcentral. Lineage: Eukaryota; Metazoa; Arthropoda; Collembola; Poduromorpha; Neanuridae.
AAAGAAUUAAUUUAAAUAAAAUAUAGAGCUGUCAAACCUAAAAUGCUUAUAUGCAUUCUUUU